Molecule: ribosomal RNA, 126 nt
Filed under: Pteropus vampyrus (large flying fox)
Lineage: Eukaryota; Metazoa; Chordata; Mammalia; Chiroptera; Pteropodidae
Source: RNAcentral
GUCUAUGGCUAUGCUACCCUGAACAAGCCCGAUCUAAUCCGUAUGAUAUUGGUGGAAGCUAAGCAGGGUCAGGCCUGGUUAGUACUUGGAUGGGAGACCACCUAGGAAGAGCAGAUGCUGUAGGCA